Molecule: long non-coding RNA, 1319 nt
Filed under: Theobroma cacao (cacao)
Lineage: Eukaryota; Viridiplantae; Streptophyta; Magnoliopsida; Malvales; Malvaceae
Description: long non-coding RNA (TCAC_LNC000749)
Source: RNAcentral
CUAUUUGAAUAUAAUAAAAACAUUAAAUAAAAUAUUCUAUUUUCUUAAAACACAAUAUUUUCAAAGUCUUCCUAAAAUAACUUUUGUAGCGUAAGAGUAAAAUAAAUUUAUUCAUAUAGUAAUAAAGAUAAUUAAAGUAUGAAAUUUCGUUUACAGUGACACGUGGGCCCCCAACUAACCAAGAAAGUGUAGAGCUACGAACCCUUACUUCCUAUGAUGCAACUCCGAGAUUAAUUCUCGUCUUAAUCAACUAUCAACAAACUGUCCUGAGCCUGAAAAAUGGAUAGGAAGAGGGGUGAGAUUAAAUAAUCCCAGUGAGUAAACAAUUACCAUCAAAAGCAUCUAAAGCCGAGUAGAUGGAGACAAUAUAAAAACGUUAUAUCUCAAUAAUGUUCAUAACACAAAAUUCGUUUCAAUCUAUACCAAAUAAUUUCUUUUCAUCAAAAUUUCCCCGACUUAUGAAUUUUUUUAAACUUGGCCCCUGCCAAUAUCAUUCUCGCGGGUACCUUCGUCAAGGUAUCCCACUGAGACCGCCAAGGCUGUUCAAUGACCCAUACCCAUAAACAUGUUUUCACAUCUGACACACAGCCGUUCCUUGGCGUUGGCUGAGUCUCACUCUCACGUGGUGGCCCGAACGUGAGGUGCACUCAAAUCAUACCUCAGGAGAUACUUCACCCAACAUCUCCCCCCGGAGGUAAGUAUAUAAUUGAGUUACCGUGCCCCUCUCAUAGGCAGUCCACGGAAACCCCCACCACUGCAGUGACCGUUUAAUAUACCACCAGACCCAUAAAAAUUCCAGUAGCAUAAUAUGGCGAAUAAAAUGUAAUCCAGUCUACCGAGACCAAUCCAAAACUGUUCAUAUAUUUCAUGCCAACCCAAAAAAAUUAGCCAUUAUGCUACCAUAGUGUCAUAAGCCACAAUUUCAAUAACAUAUAAAAUCAUAAAUUUCAACACAGUCUCCAUAUACUCAAUUUUCCCAAAACAAUAUUUGAUUUCAAAACCAGUAUAAAUCUCAUUUUUAUUAAAAAACAUUUUAAUUGGAAAACAUAAUAUUUUAUAAUUUAAAUUCACCAUUCAAUAAAAGCAUCAAACAAGUAUAAUUACUCUAGAUAUUUAAGACGAUAAAUUGUCCACUCACAGUUCUAGGAGUCGAUGUACUCCUAAUCUCAGUCUUCAAGCACAAUUUCUGUACUUUUACCAGUGUAAUUUGCUCACCACCUAUCCACAAUGUACAAUACAUAAUUCACCACAUCAAUGCUUGACCAUUAUAAAAUCAAUUCAGGCUCGGUAUAUAUGCAUGAUAUGACAUGCAACUUAUC